UUGAUAGGCUAGGACUCAGUCAUGAUUUUAACAGAUUUAUAAUUCUUUGCUCUGGGCCAUGGCAUAAUAGGAAUGUAUUCUCUACUCAAUAAUAGAAGAAUCGAGCUCAAAUAUUAAAAUGAAAAAGAAGGCAUGACUCUUCUGCUUUCAGAAAGCAGUCCUCCUGUGCACAGUAUCUCAGAGAUUCAACUCAGAAGGUGACAUGACCACCAGGUUUCACUGUAGAAGAGGAAGAUGUCCCAAAUCAGAAGAAAAUACUGCUUGAAAAUCACAAUUAUUAGAUCGAUGGAAUAAAUCUACCUCACACAG
Long non-coding RNA from Tachyglossus aculeatus (Australian echidna), 309 nucleotides. RefSeq lists it as uncharacterized. NCBI's taxonomy places the organism in Eukaryota, Metazoa, Chordata, Mammalia, Monotremata, Tachyglossidae. The record is from RefSeq and is a predicted model, not a curated record. The transcript has 2 exons.